RNAcentral lists this ribosomal RNA (343 nucleotides) under uncultured Burkholderiales bacterium. RNAcentral describes it as "bacterial SSU rRNA". It matches the Rfam family "Bacterial small subunit ribosomal RNA", at positions 1 to 352 of the family's 1533-position model. The record is from RNAcentral. Lineage: Bacteria; Pseudomonadati; Pseudomonadota; Betaproteobacteria; Burkholderiales.
UAGUGAGUUUGAUCCUGGCUCAGAUUGAACGCUGGCGGCAUGCUUUACACAUGCAAGUCGAACGGUAACAGGCCGCAAGGUGCUGACGAGUGGCGAACGGGUGAGUAAUGCAUCGGAACGUGCCCAGUCGUGGGGAUAACGCAGCGAAAGCUGUGCUAAUACCGCAUACGAUCUAUGGAUGAAAGUGGGGGAUCGCAAGACCUCAUGCUCCUGGAGCGGCCGAUAUCUGAUUAGCUAGUUGGUGAGGUAAAGGCUCACCAAGGCAUCGAUCAGUAGCUGGUCUGAGAGGACGAUCAGCCACACUGGAACUGAGACACGGUCCAGACUCCGUACGGGAGGCAGC